AUGGCGAAGAAGGCGGCGGUGAUCGCCACGCUGCUGGCCCUGAACCUGCUCUUCUUCACCUUCGCCGACGCCUGCGGCUGCCACUGCGGAUCCUGCCCUAGCCCCGGCGGAGGCGGCGGCGGUGGGGGUGGCGGUGGAGGUGGGAGUGGUGGCGGCGGUGGUGGGAGCGGGGGCAGUGGAGGCAGCGGUGGAGGCGGUUCUGGAGGAGGAGGCAGCGGCGGAGGGGGAUCUGGAGGAGGCGGUAGCGCCGGAGGCGGAUCAGGAGGAGGCGGCAGCGGCGGCGGCGGGUCCGGCGGUGGCGGAUCGGGAGGAGGCGGAUCAGGCGGGCGCGCGCGGUGCCCCAUCGAUGCGCUGAAGCUGGGGGUGUGCGCCAACGUGCUCAACGGGCUGAUCAACCUGCAGCUGGGGACGCCGCCGAAGCAGCCGUGCUGCUCGCUGAUCCAGGGGCUCGCCGACCUGGAGGCGGCGGUGUGCCUGUGCACGGCGCUCAAGGCCAACAUCCUGGGCAUCAACCUCAACGUGCCCAUCGAUCUCAGCCUCCUCGUCAACUACUGCGGCAAGAACGUCCCCUCCGGCUUCCAGUGCCCCCGCUAG
Molecule: ribosomal RNA, 594 nt
Filed under: Triticum aestivum (bread wheat)
Lineage: Eukaryota; Viridiplantae; Streptophyta; Magnoliopsida; Poales; Poaceae
Description: partial small subunit ribosomal RNA
Source: RNAcentral